CUGUCCCAUUCCUCGAGUUUGCCAGAACCUGUACCCUGAAGAUUAAUGAGCUCCUCAUUCCUGUAUGGCCGAAGGGGUUCUGGUGUGUUGCAUGGCAGGUAUGUCUGAUAACACCAAAAAUUAGAGAUUCAGUCUCUAUCAUGAUCCAUAAGUUUGAAUUAAAUCCUGUACGCACGACUUGGUUAAGAUUUAGUAUGUCAGUGUAGGUAUAAUGUGAGAUUAGAGAACUUCAACUAGUUUGGAUUGAGGAAUAGUUGAUUGAUUGAUAUGACAGUCUUAUUUUCAUCUAUAUAAAAACUCUAGGUUUACAUAGCCUUCUAUCCUGUCAUACUUUAGGACUGUCAUCAUAAUCCUGUAAGUCAGGAAGUUCAGAACUAUUUUGAAGAGGAACAUAUCUUAUUUAACUUGAAAAUGUAUUUUUUUUUUUUUUUGUGUAUCUGGGAAUCAUACAGUUAGGUUUAACCUAUCAGUAUGUAUUUUUUGCCUAGAAAAUUGAAGUGCAUCCUCAACCUUAGUGCUUUCUUCUGCAAUUACGUGUAAUAAGCUCUGCCAGUUCCUGUUGAGUGAUUACAAUGUUUUGCAGGCAUCAUAUAGAUUCCUGGAGUAAGGUUAAGAAAUAUGAAUACCUUGUUGCUAAAAAACACCCGAUCGUACUUGUAGCGAUGUGCUGGAUACACCCAAGAAUUGCAGACGAAACGAACUUCACCAUGUCCGGGAAUAUCUUCUAAAGCAACGGUCUUCAGGUAAAACUGGCUAUGAUGAUAGUUCUUUAUAAUGAAAGCACCUGGAACUCCUAUUGACUCAUCCAACUCAAAUGUAAUAUUGAAUGUAGCUUCUUCCACUGAUAUCCAAGUCUUGCUGGAUGUCCAGUCCAAAAUUGCUGGUUUUCCCACCUUCCCUUUUGAUCCAUUUCCUUUAAGAAUGAAAAAAAAAAAUUGUGCUUCAAUGUUACUGUACAGAAUAACAUACAUUCUGCAUUUAUUGCAUUAAGGCUUCCAAAUUAAUCCGAAGUAGUUGAUUUCAAACAUUUAAACGACUGCAGAGAAGGAACUAUCAAGGUUUUCUUAUGGUAUUUUUGCUUCUAAAUGGGAGGAAACCAGGGAAAUAAAACCUUUAGAUUUAUUCUGCUGCUUACUUUCGCAAAAUUUGUUGGUGAAAAUGGAAUAACCAGGCAUUCAGAAUUCAGGUAGUGGAGGUUCAGGAGUUAAAAUUUUGAAACUCCAGAAUAAGAGUUUGUUACUAAAAUGGCGUCGGAGGUUUAAUGAUUUUAACAAUGAACUAUGGAACAAUGUUAUAACCAUUAAAUAUAUGGUAAGAAUGAGGAGAGGUGCACUAACAGUGUAAGAGGUGUGUAUGGUGUAUCUGUUUGGAAGCCUACUAGGAGUCUAUGGGAAGAAUUUUAUGACUGUUUAAGCUGAAAGUUGGCAAUGGAAGAAGAGUGAAGAUGUGGUCAAAUAGGUGGCUAUGACACUUCCUUAAUUGAGCAGUUUCCAGAUCUUUAUGCAAUCAUAUCGAACAAGCACUCUAUGGCUGAUUUCUACUUUUAUUUAAGAAGGAACUUGGAUGACUGGGAGAUUGAUUGCAUAAAUGACUUCAUUCAACAGCUAAAACCUGUCUCUAUUUGAUGAUCAGGUGGCUGAUUCUUUGUUGCGGACGGUUAAGAAAAUGGUAAAUGUACUGUCAAAGUAAUGUUAUAAAAGCCUCUUGAGGAAAAUAGGUGGAAUCCAUGACUGUUGACCGUGGAAGAUAAUCUGGAAAUCUAUUGUCCCCGUAGAGCUGCUUGCUCCACUGCACUGUUACCAAGAAAAUAUGGUCAAUGUUCCGGAGCAUUUUUGGAGUCCAAUUGGUUACGCCAGGAAGAAUAAAACUUGCCUUACACAGCUCGUAUGCACAGCCAUUUGCUAGGGGCAGCAAACACUGCUGCAAUGCAGUUCCUACUUGCAUAUUCUGAAUACUUGACUAGAUAGAAAGCAACAGAUGUUUUAAUGAUAAGAGUGAUAACAUUGCAAAUGUAAUAUCUAGAUGCUGUACGGAUCUUUCUUUGUGGUGUGGGAAGAACAUUGUAUCUGACAUAAUAACUAACAAGUAUAAUAACUAACAAGUUUGUUUGCAUCUCUUUGCUCAGCUCUAGGGAGAAAAUGUAAAUUACCAGGAUCAGCAUGGACAUCACUAAUGAGCUCUAGGAUGACGCGUUUGCCAAAGAGCUCGUGCAUUCGAUCAAGGAAGGCAGAACCAGCAUCC
Molecule: long non-coding RNA, 2241 nt
Filed under: Nicotiana tabacum (common tobacco)
Lineage: Eukaryota; Viridiplantae; Streptophyta; Magnoliopsida; Solanales; Solanaceae
Description: long non-coding RNA (NTAB_LNC000142)
Source: RNAcentral